This 78-nucleotide ribozyme is filed under the name unclassified sequences. RNAcentral describes it as "pistol ribozyme". It matches the Rfam family "Pistol ribozyme". The record is from RNAcentral.
ACUCGACUAGGCGAGUAUAAACAGCGUUUAGGCCUAGUGCGGUUCAAUUCCAUUCCUAAAAUGGAAUUGAACAUACGC